AUCGACUCAAAGCUCCCCCAACCCCCCAACUCCCAAUGCCCCCUGUGCAUAACUAACUUAGUGUGACUUCUAAUGCUGUCAAUUUUUGCUGCUAGAUUUAUUAUGUUACUCAUACCAUUAUUGUUCCAGCUGCUUACUUUCAAUGAAAUAUCAUACAAUGAUUGAUUGCCUGUGUUUUAUAAUGGUGCUUAUAAUGUAAUAUAUUAUUUGUAUAUAUUGUAUCUAUAAAAUAUUUAUAUAUUUUCUCAUAACUAAAUUAGUGUGACUUCUAAUGCUGUCAAUUUCAGGUGCUACAUUUAUUAUGUUUCUCAUACCAUUAUUGUUCCAGCUGCUUACUUUCAAUGAAAUCUUAUACAAUGAUUGAUUGCCUGUGUUUUAUGAUGGUGCUUAUAAUGUAAUAUAUUAUUUGUAUAUAUUGUAUCUAUAAAAUAUUUAUAUAUUUUCUCAUAACUAAAUUAGUGUGACUUCUAAUGCUGUCAAUUUCAGGUGCUACAUUUAUUAUGUUUCUCAUACCAUUAUUGUUCCAGCUGCUUACUUUCAAGGAAAUCUAAUACAAUGAUUGAUUGCCUGUGUUUUAUGAUGGUGCUUAUAAUGUAAUAUAUUAUUUGUAUAUAUUGUAUCUAUAAAAUAUUUGUAUAUUUUCUCAUAACUAAAUUAGUGUGACUUCUAAUGCUGUCAAUUUCAGGUGCUACAUUUAUUAUGUUUCUCAUACCAUUAUUGCUCCAGCUGCUUACUUUCAAUGAAAUCUUAUACAAUGAUUGAUUGCCUACGUUUUAUAACUGUGUAAUAGGAGCGACAAACAUUUUGAAAUACGAUGCAAAGGAAUAUGAGAAAUACAUCUCAAUAUAAUGUUUGCUCAACAAAAACUAAAAUCAACACCGAAAAAGUUAUUCUAUAAUUUUUUCUUUGUGAUACAAUCAAAAUGUUCGCAAAAUAACUAUUUUCUAUUUAUGUUGCAGAUGGUGUAAUAGGAACUACAAACAUUUGAAAUACGAUGCAAAGGAAUAUGAGAAAUACAUCUCAAUAUAAUGUUUGCUCAACAAAAACUAAAAUCAACACCGAAAAAGUUAUUCUAUAAUUUUUUCUUUGUGAUACAAUCAAAAUGUUCGCAAAAUAACUAUUUUCUAUUUAUGUUGCAGAUGGUGUAAUAGGAACUACAAACAUUUGAAAUACGAUGACAAGGAAUAUGAGAAAUAUAUCUCAAUAUAAUGUUUGCUCAACAAAAACUAAAAUCAACACCGAAAAAGUUAUUCUAUAAAUUUUUCUUUGUGAUACAAUCAAAAUGUUCGCAAAAUAACUAUUUUCUAUUUAUGUUGCAGAUGGUGUAAUAGGAACUACAAACAUUUGAGAUACGAUGACAAGGAAUAUGAAAAAUGACAUCCCAAUUUAAUGUUUGCUCAACAAAAACUAAAAUCAACACCGAAAACGUUAUUCUAUAAAUUUUUCUUUGUGGUACAAUUAAAAUGUUCGCAAAAUAACUAUUUUCCAUUUAUGUUGCAGAUGGUGUAAUAGAAGCUACAAACAUUUUGAAAUACGAUGACAAAGAAUAAGAAAAAGAAGCUAAUAUAUAUAUAAAUAUAAUAUAUUUAUAUAUAUCAUAUAUAUAAAUAUAUAUGAAUAUAAGCUAACUUAUAUGCCCAUAUGCUUAUCAACACCGAGUGAUAAUCAAACCAAUAUUAACCUUUCCUCAAUGAUUCGAUUGUAACUGAUAUUUUUUUAAUUUAAUUAUACUUUUUUCUGUUGCAGAUGGUGUUAAAAAACAAAUUUUACAUCUGAUUCGAAAUUCUUAGAUUUCUCCCAAUACUUGGAAAGCACACCCGUCUCAUUUCUCUUGUGAACAUCAACAGGCUAGAUCAACUCUACUGGUGUCAAAAGUGCAUGGAACAAACAUAGCAGAAAGAGCUACAGUGAGUCGGGUGGCGCCGAUGAUACCCCUGCCAUUGAGCAGAUAAUACAGCGUUAGCUGGGGGACUCAUAGCCUUAGCAUGUUCUCCAUGUGUUUAAUUUUAGUAUUUGAGCUUCAAGACUCCUGGUACGACACAGAUAAGUGCCUAUAGGCCCAAUUCACAUCGAAAUGACGUGGCUUUGGAGUGGCGCUGACUUUUUAACAUACAAACAUAAAUGGUUGAAUGCAAACAGAAGUGGCUUGGCGAAAUGCCAAUCCAGUGUGCAUUGGACCAUAGGCCUAUAAUUAUGGAGUGCCAAAAUGUCAGUGACAUACCACCACCACGUCACUGUUCAGCUGUUCUUGUUUAUGUUGUAUGCUUGUAAAUAAAUUCAAUUCUAUUAAU
This 2291-nucleotide long non-coding RNA is filed under the name Nilaparvata lugens (brown planthopper). Its description in RNAcentral is "uncharacterized LOC120350881". The record is from RNAcentral. Lineage: Eukaryota; Metazoa; Arthropoda; Insecta; Hemiptera; Delphacidae.